Molecule: ribosomal RNA, 497 nt
Filed under: uncultured bacterium
Lineage: Bacteria
Description: partial 16S ribosomal RNA
Rfam family: Bacterial small subunit ribosomal RNA
Source: RNAcentral
GAUGAACGCUGGCGGCGUGCCUAAUACAUGCAAGUCGAGCGAACAGACGAGGAGCUUGCUCCUCUGACGUUAGCGGCGGACGGGUGAGUAACACGUGGAUAACCUACCUAUAAGACUGGGAUAACUUCGGGAAACCGGAGCUAAUACCGGAUAAUAUAUUGAACCGCAUGGUUCAAUAGUGAAAGACGGUUUUGCUGUCACUUAUAGAUGGAUCCGCGCCGCAUUAGCUAGUUGGUAAGGUAACGGCUUACCAAGGCAACGAUGCGUAGCCGACCUGAGAGGGGCGUGGGCAACACUGACACUGAUACACGUCCCAAACCCCACGGGGAGCAGGCAUGGGGGAUUUCUCCGAAAGGGCCAAAAGCCGGACGGAGCAACGCCGCGUGGUUAAUGAGGGUUUUCUGAUCUAAAACCUUUUUUAUUAGGAAAGAAAAAAUGUUUAAGUACCUACCCCCGUCUGGAGGAUACCUAAUCAGAAGGCCGGGGCUAAGUCCGAG